AGGAAUGCACUACCUCCACGCAGAAGCUCCGAUCAAAGUCAUCCACCGAGACCUCAAGUCACGGAACGUGGUCAUGACAGCAGACAAAGUGCUUAAGAUUUGUGACUUUGGUGCGUCAAAGUUCUUGUCCCAUACCACUCACAUGACUGUGGUGGGCACCUUUCCCUGGAUGGCUCCCGAGGUCAUUCAGAGCCUGCCUGUCUCUGAAACCUGCGACACAUACUCAUAUGGC
Long non-coding RNA from Hippocampus comes (tiger tail seahorse), 232 nucleotides. RefSeq lists it as uncharacterized. The transcript is spliced from 3 exons. NCBI's taxonomy places the organism in Eukaryota, Metazoa, Chordata, Actinopteri, Syngnathiformes, Syngnathidae. The record is from RefSeq and is a predicted model, not a curated record.